Molecule: non-coding RNA, 21 nt
Filed under: Arabidopsis thaliana (thale cress)
Lineage: Eukaryota; Viridiplantae; Streptophyta; Magnoliopsida; Brassicales; Brassicaceae
Source: RNAcentral
CAACCCACGGUGCCACUCCUA